AAGGCUCCUUUCCAUAGAGUCUUGUGGCGUCCUCAACCCCCCCAUCCUUCCACUCCAAUUCGUUUGCCAAGCUUGAGAGUGAUACACGUCCAGCAAGCAAAGCACCAUCUCAAUCCACUUCAAUCAUCAACUGAUUAGGCUGAGAGUGUCACACGACCAGCAGCCUAAUUCCAUCCUAUCUAUCUUUAUUUAUCUUAUUUUAUCAUAUUAGAAAUCAUAUCUCAUUUGUUUUUGCAUUUGUUUUCAGCAUCAUAACUUGCAUUCCAUCCUAUCGCCCAUC
Molecule: long non-coding RNA, 280 nt
Filed under: Brassica napus (rape)
Lineage: Eukaryota; Viridiplantae; Streptophyta; Magnoliopsida; Brassicales; Brassicaceae
Description: long non-coding RNA (BNAP_LNC026903)
Source: RNAcentral